This 465-nucleotide ribosomal RNA is filed under the name uncultured Klebsiella sp. RNAcentral describes it as "bacterial SSU rRNA". It matches the Rfam family "Bacterial small subunit ribosomal RNA", at positions 338 to 795 of the family's 1533-position model. Lineage: Bacteria; Pseudomonadati; Pseudomonadota; Gammaproteobacteria; Enterobacterales; Enterobacteriaceae. The record is from RNAcentral.
CCUACGGGAGGCUGCAGUGGGGAAUAUUGCACAAUGGGCGCAAGCCUGAUGCAGCCAUGCCGCGUGUGUGAAGAAGGCCUUCGGGUUGUAAAGCACUUUCAGCGGGGAGGAAGGCGGUGAGGUUAAUAACCUCAUCGAUUGACGUUACCCGCAGAAGAAGCACCGGCUAACUCCGUGCCAGCAGCCGCGGUAAUACGGAGGGUGCAAGCGUUAAUCGGAAUUACUGGGCGUAAAGCGCACGCAGGCGGUCUGUCAAGUCGGAUGUGAAAUCCCCGGGCUCAACCUGAGAACUGCAUUCGAAACUGGCAGGCUAGAGUCUUGUAGAGGGGGGUAGAAUUCCAGGUGCAGCGGUGAAAUGCGUAGAGAUCUGGAGGAAUACCGGUGGCGAAGGCGGCCCCCUGGACAAAGACUGACGCUCAGGUGCGAAAGCGUGGGGAGCAAACAGGAUUAGAUACCCUAGUAGUC